CGAUUGAUCAGAUACCGUCGUAGUCUUAACCAUAAACUAUGCCGACCAGGGAUUGGGAGACGUUUUUCAUGACUCCCCCAGCACCUUACGAGAAAUCACAAGUCUUUGGGUUCUGGGGGGAGUAUGGUCGCAAGGCUGAAACUUAAAGGAAUUGACGGAAGGGCACCACCAGGAGUGGAGCCUGCGGCUUAAUUUGACUCAACACGGGAAAACUUACCAGGUCCAGACACAGUUAGGAUUGACAGAUUGAGAGCUCUUUCUUGAUUCUGUGGGUGGUGGUGCAUGGCCGUUCUUAGUUGGUGGAGUGAUUUGUCUGGUUAAUUCCGAUAACGAACGAGACCUCAGCCUGCUAAUUAGUUAUGCUAGUCUUUACGCUUGGGAGACGCAGAGUACGCCAGCAAUGGAACGCUUUGUGCAUCCUGUCCUGACUUGUAGUUAACUUCUUAGAGGGACACUUGGUGUCUAACCAAGGGAAGUUUGAGGCAAUAACAGGUCUGUGAUGCCCUUUAGAUGUUCUGGGCUGCACGCGCGCUACACUGAUGCAAUCAACAAGUCUUUCUCCUUGGCCGAAAGGUCUGGGUAAACUUUUGAAAUUGCAUCGUGCUGGGGAUCGAUAAUUGUAAUUAUUUAUCGUCAACGAGGAACUCCUAGUAAGCGCAAGUCAUCAGCUUGCGUUGAUUACGUCCCUGCCCUUUGUACACACCGCCCGUCGCUCCUACCGAUUGGAUGGUCCGGUGAAGCCCUCGGAUCGGCCUUGACCUCCGGUGAUAGGACGAGAAGUAGGCUAAACCUUACCAUCUAGAGGAAGGUGAAGUCGUAACAAGGUUUCCGUAGGUGAACCUGCAGAAGGAUGA
Molecule: ribosomal RNA, 854 nt
Filed under: Pseudoparamoeba sp.
Lineage: Eukaryota; Discosea; Flabellinia; Dactylopodida; Vexilliferidae
Description: bacterial SSU rRNA
Rfam family: Eukaryotic small subunit ribosomal RNA
Source: RNAcentral